This 253-nucleotide ribosomal RNA is filed under the name uncultured bacterium. Its description in RNAcentral is "partial 16S ribosomal RNA". It matches the Rfam family "Bacterial small subunit ribosomal RNA", at positions 524 to 776 of the family's 1533-position model. The record is from RNAcentral.
GACAGAGGGUGCAAGCGUUGUUCGGAAUCAUUGGGCGUAAAGGGCGCGUAGGCGGUUUUGUAAGUCGGAUGUGAAAGCCCAGGGCUUAACCUUGGAAGUGCAUCCGAAACUGCAUAACUGGAGUCUCGGAGAGGGUGGUGGAAUUCCCAGUGUAGAGGUGAAAUUCGUAGAUAUUGGGAGGAACACCGGUGGCGAAGGCGACCACCUGGACGAAGACUGACGCUGAGGCGCGAGAGCGUGGGGAGCAAACAGG